This 473-nucleotide ribosomal RNA is filed under the name uncultured bacterium. Its description in RNAcentral is "partial 16S ribosomal RNA". It matches the Rfam family "Bacterial small subunit ribosomal RNA", at positions 28 to 507 of the family's 1533-position model. The record is from RNAcentral.
GAUAAACGCUGGCGGCGCACAUAAGACAUGCAAGUUGAACGGACUUAAUCGAAAUAUUUAUAUUUUGAAGCGGUUAGUGGCGGACUGGUGAGUAACGCGUAAGGAACCUGCCUAUUAGAGGGGAAUAACAGUGAGAAAUCAUUGCUAAUACCGCAUAUGCCAUAGAUAUCACAUGAUAACAGUGGGCAAGGAGCAAUCCGCUAAUAGAUGGCCUUGCGUCUGAUUAGAUAGUUGGUGGGGUAACGGCCUACCAAGUCGACGAUCAGUAGCCGGACUGAGAGGUUGAACGGCCACAUUGGGACUGAGAUACGGCCCAGACUCCUACGGGAGGCAGCAGUCGGGAAUAUUGCGCAAUGGAGGAAACUCUGACGCAGUGACGCCGCGUAUAGGAAGAAGGUUUUCGGAUUGUAAACUAUUGUCGUUAGGGAAGAGAAAGGACAGUACCUAAGGAGGAAGCUCCGGCUAACUACGUG